RNAcentral lists this ribosomal RNA (468 nucleotides) under uncultured bacterium. RNAcentral's name for it is "partial 16S ribosomal RNA". It matches the Rfam family "Bacterial small subunit ribosomal RNA", at positions 28 to 507 of the family's 1533-position model. The record is from RNAcentral.
GACGAACGCUGGCGGCGUGCUUAACACACGCAAGUCGAACGGAAAGGCCCUGCUUUUGUGGGGUGCUCGAGUGGCGAACGGGUGAGUAACACGUGAGUAACCUGCCCUUGACUUUGGGAUAACUUCAGGAAACUGGGGCUAAUACCGGAUAGGAGCUCCUGCUGCAUGGUGGGGGUUGGAAAGUUUCGGCGGUUGGGGAUGGACUCGCGGCUUAUCAGCUUGUUGGUGGGGUAGUGGCUUACCAAGGCUUUGACGGGUAGCCGGCCUGAGAGGGUGACCGGCCACAUUGGGACUGAGAUACGGCCCAGACUCCUACGGGAGGCAGCAGUGGGGAAUAUUGCACAAUGGGCGGAAGCCUGAUGCAGCAACGCCGCGUGCGGGAUGACGGCCUUCGGGUUGUAAACCGCUUUCGCCUGUGACGAAGCGUGAGUGACGGUAAUGGGUAAAGAAGCACCGGCUAACUACGUG